AUGAUUCGUACCUCAGCAGCAUCCCAAUUUAGUUUCUCAUCAAAAUAUCCAUAGCAGUUCCCCUGUUUCUGCAGCCAGUCUCUGGGGCAUGAUGCAGCCUUGACUGCAAGGAGACAAAACGAGAAAAAACAUGCAGGGGACCUCUUCAGUUGGGAGUAGACAUGACUGAAAGGGUUGAGGGCUGCUUCUCAGCCUUUCAACUUUUUGAGAGUGGAAGGAGACCAUCUGCUAAAUUGUCCAUGGACUUCGCCAGUUAUGAAGUGCCGUAUGGAUGGAUUAUGUAUGGAUAACAAAGAGCAUCUAACCAACACUUGCCAAGAAUGCCUUCAGCCUCUCACCUUGCAAAGCUCUUCAACUGGAGAAGUUGAGUUGGUGGAUGGUUGGACUGGUG
Crotalus tigris (Tiger rattlesnake) is the source of this 391-nucleotide long non-coding RNA. RefSeq lists it as uncharacterized. Lineage: Eukaryota; Metazoa; Chordata; Lepidosauria; Squamata; Viperidae. The record is from RefSeq and is a predicted model, not a curated record. The transcript has 3 exons.